Molecule: ribosomal RNA, 253 nt
Filed under: uncultured prokaryote
Description: partial 16S ribosomal RNA
Rfam family: Bacterial small subunit ribosomal RNA
Source: RNAcentral
ACGUAGGACGCGAGCGUUAUCCGGAGUUACUGGGCGUAAAGGGCGGGCAGGCGGCCAGGCAAGAUGGGCGUGAAAUCUCCCGGCUCAACCGGGAGAGGCCGCUCGUGACUGCGUGGCUGGAGGGCGACAGAGGAGCGUGGAAUUCCGGGUGGAGUGGUGAAAUGCGUAGAGAUCCGGAGGAACACCAGAGGCGAAAGCGGCGCUCUGGGUCGCGCCUGACGCUGAACCGCGAAAGCCAGGGGAGCGAACGGGA